This 468-nucleotide ribosomal RNA is filed under the name uncultured bacterium. RNAcentral's name for it is "partial 16S ribosomal RNA". It matches the Rfam family "Bacterial small subunit ribosomal RNA", at positions 28 to 507 of the family's 1533-position model. The record is from RNAcentral.
GACGAACGCUGGCGGCGUGCUUAACACAUGCAAGUCGAACGGAAAGGCCCUGCUUUUGUGGGGUGCUCGAGUGGCGAACGGGUGAGUAACACGUGAGUAACCUGCCCUUGACUUUGGGAUAACUUCAGGAAACUGGGGCUAAUACCGGAUAGGAGCUCCUGCUGCAUGGUGGGGGUUGGAAAGUUUCGGCGGUUGGGGAUGGACUCGCGGCUUAUCAGCUUGUUGGUGGGGUAGUGGCUUACCAAGGCUUUGACGGGUAGCCGGCCUUAGAGGGUGACCGGCCCCAUUGGGACUGAGAUACGGCCCAGACUCCUACGGGAGGCAGCAGUGGGGAAUAUUGCACAAUGGGCGGAAGCCUGAUGCAGCAACGCCGCGUGCGGGAUGACGGCCUUCGGGUUGUAAACCGCUUUCGCCUGUGACGAAGCGUGAGUGACGGUAAUGGGUAAAGAAGCACCGGCUAACUACGUG